UACGGAGGGUGCAAGCGUUAAUCGGAAUAACUGGGCGUAAAGCGCACGCAGGCGGUUUGAUUAGUCAGAUGUGAAAUCCCCGAGCUCAACUUGGGAACUGCAUUUGAAACUGUCAAACUAGAGUCUUGUAGAGGGGGGUAGAAUUCCAGGUGUAGCGGUGAAAUGCGUAGAGAUCUGGAGGAAUACCAGUGGCGAAGGCGGCCCCCCGGACAAAGACUGACGCUCAGGUGCGAAAGCGUGGGGAGCAAACAGG
Molecule: ribosomal RNA, 253 nt
Filed under: uncultured bacterium
Lineage: Bacteria
Description: partial 16S ribosomal RNA
Rfam family: Bacterial small subunit ribosomal RNA
Source: RNAcentral